This 253-nucleotide long non-coding RNA is filed under the name Polistes dominula (European paper wasp). RNAcentral describes it as "uncharacterized LOC107072562, transcript variant X3". Lineage: Eukaryota; Metazoa; Arthropoda; Insecta; Hymenoptera; Vespidae. The record is from RNAcentral.
UUUGAUAGUUGAUGUUAGUACUUAAUCUUUUUAUUUUUAACAUUAAAAGAUAGAUUAAACUACAAAAUACUAUUCAGUGAUUGAUUUAUAAACACGAAUAACCUAUUUGGAACGUUUCAGUAAUAAUUUGAUGAAAAGUAUGCCAGUAAAAAAAGAAGACAACAACAAAAGAUCAGUCGCUGCUAAAAGCAAAAUGGAGUAUGAAAGUGGAAUAAAAUCUGUUGACGAAGAGACCAUUAUGUCUUUGCUUGCU